Non-coding RNA from Zopfochytrium polystomum, 72 nucleotides. The record is from the annotation of a GenBank genome assembly. NCBI's taxonomy places the organism in Eukaryota, Fungi, Chytridiomycota, Chytridiomycetes, Chytridiales, Chytridiaceae.
UCCCAGAUCGACUAAUGGUCAAGAUUCCGCCCUUUCACGGCAGCGAUCAGGGUUCGAUUUCCCGACUGGGAG